AGAGUUUGAUCCUGGCUCAGGAUGAACGCUGGCGGCGUGCUUAACACAUGCAAGUCGAACGGACUCAUAUUGAAACCUAGUGAUAUAUGAGUUAGUGGCGGACGGGUGAGUAACGCGUGGAGAACCUGCCGUAUACUGGGGGAUAACACUUAGAAAUAGGUGCUAAUACCGCAUAAGCGCACAGCUUCGCAUGAAGCAGUGUGAAAAACUCCGGUGGUAUACGAUGGAUCCGCGUCUGAUUAGCUGGUUGGCGGGGUAAAGGCCCACCAAGGCGACGAUCAGUAGCCGGCCUGAGAGGGUGAACGGCCACAUUGGGACUGAGACACGGCCCAAACUCCUACGGGAGGCAGCAGUGGGGAAUAUUGCACAAUGGGGGAAACCCUGAUGCAGCGACGCCGCGUGAGUGAAGAAGUAUUUCGGUACGUAAAGCUCUAUCAGCAGGGAAGAAAAUGACGGUACCUGACUAAGAAGCCCCGGCUAACUACGUG
Molecule: ribosomal RNA, 488 nt
Filed under: uncultured Lachnospiraceae bacterium
Lineage: Bacteria; Bacillati; Bacillota; Clostridia; Lachnospirales; Lachnospiraceae
Description: bacterial SSU rRNA
Rfam family: Bacterial small subunit ribosomal RNA
Source: RNAcentral